This 225-nucleotide long non-coding RNA is filed under the name Capsicum annuum. Its description in RNAcentral is "long non-coding RNA (CANN_LNC017407)". Lineage: Eukaryota; Viridiplantae; Streptophyta; Magnoliopsida; Solanales; Solanaceae. The record is from RNAcentral.
AGGCUUUCCAGAAAUGAAAGGUGAACUAAAAGCCUUUGUCUGAGAUGAUGGAAAAUAGAACUCCAUGUAAUCUAACCAACUCUUUAACAUAGACCUUGGCAUACUCCUUGGCUGAGUAGGAAGUAUAGAUUGGUAAGAAAUGAUUUGAUUUGGUCAUCCUAUCCAAAAUAACCCAAACCGAAUCAUACUAACAAUGAGUACGGGGCAAACCCAUCAUAAAAUCUA